CCUACGGGAGGCAGCAGUGAGGAAUAUUGGUCAAUGGACGAGAGUCUGAACCAGCCAAGUAGCGUGAAGGAUGACUGCCCUAUGGGUUGUAAACUUCUUUUAUAUGGGAAUAAAAUGUUCCACGUGUGGGAUUUUGUAUGUACCAUAUGAAUAAGGAUCGGCUAACUCCGUGCCAGCAGCCGCGGUAAUACGGAGGAUCCGAGCGUUAUCCGGAUUUAUUGGGUUUAAAGGGAGCGUAGGUGGAUUGUUAAGGCAGUUGUGAAAGUUUGCGGCUCAACCGUAAAAUUGCAGUUGAAACUGGCAGUCUUGAGUACAGUAGAGGUGGGCGGAAGUCGUGGUGUAGCGGUGAAAUGCUUAGAUAUCACGAAGAACUCCGAUUGCGAAGGCAGUUCACUGGACUGCAACUGACACUGAGGCUCGAAAGUGUGGGUAUCAAACAGGAUUAGAUACCCGAGUAGUC
RNAcentral lists this ribosomal RNA (460 nucleotides) under uncultured bacterium. RNAcentral describes it as "partial 16S ribosomal RNA". It matches the Rfam family "Bacterial small subunit ribosomal RNA", at positions 338 to 795 of the family's 1533-position model. The record is from RNAcentral.